AUAAAAUCAAACUCAGAGCUCAAGCAAAUUUUUACCUAGAAAUGCAACAAUUCCACGAUCAGAGGAAGAAGGAGCCAUUGCUAGCUUCAUUUGAUCGGUGCACAAUUUCUCUUAUCUUGGAAUUGCUAGCUUAAUAAGGUAUGUUUCUAUUAUGCAGUUGUGGUGUUGCUGUCAGUUGUGGGUUUUGGAAAUGUAGUGUGGGCGUCUUCUUGGGGUCUUUGCUUCGGCUCCAGCUUUCGUUUUCUUCAAUCUUCUUUUCGUUUGGGGUGUUUAUUUCGUUAUCGUUAUACAAGGUGGGUCUUAUUUUCCAUGGCUAGUAGAUUUUUUUUUUUGUUUUUUUAUUCAAAACUGGGUUGUUUUCUAAAAUCUAAAUUAAGGAAUUGCAUUUCACUAUUUUGAGCCGGUGUUUACAGCAUGCGGCACUUGCAAAUAAUAUUGUCAAAAGGGUUUCUGAAAAAUGUUCGAAGUAAAGAUUUAUGGGACUGCAUAUUACAGCUAAUGCUUAGGUAUGACCAGUAACUAAAGGUGAAUUUUGUUCAUGAUUGGAAGGCUGGCAACUUAUGCUUCAAAGGCUACAGUCAAUGACUCUGGUUGGGGCUAUAUGAACUGAUAUUGUUUUUCACAUCAUAAGAAUCUGCAUGUUAAGUGAAUAAUUGGAAGCUGUUUUAUUGGUCAAUAGUGACUUUCAAGUUUUAACUGCUCUUCAGCCAUUCCAUAUUUCAUUGAUGCUGUGUUCAAUAGAGAGGUUGUCAUGCUCAUCAUUGGUGUAUGUAGU
Molecule: unclassified non-coding RNA, 775 nt
Filed under: Hevea brasiliensis (rubber tree)
Lineage: Eukaryota; Viridiplantae; Streptophyta; Magnoliopsida; Malpighiales; Euphorbiaceae
Source: RNAcentral